GAUGAACGCUAGCUACAGGCUUAACACAUGCAAGUCGAGGGGCAGCAUUCUUCUAGCAAUAGAAGAGAUGGCGACCGGCGCACGGGUGAGUAACACGUAUCCAACCUACCGAUAACUCCGGAAUAGCCUUUCGAAAGAAAGAUUAAUACCGGAUAGUAUACGAAUAUCGCAUGAUAUUUUUAUUAAAGAAUUUCGGUUAUCGAUGGGGAUGCGUUCCAUUAGUUUGUUGGCGGGGUAACGGCCCACCAAGACUACGAUGGAUAGGGGUUCUGAGAGGAAGGUCCCCCACAUUGGAACUGAGACACGGUCCAAACUCCUACGGGAGGCAGCAGUGAGGAAUAUUGGUCAAUGGGCGCGAGCCUGAACCAGCCAAGUAGCGUGAAGGAUGAAGGCUCUAUGGGUCGUAAACUUCUUUUAUAUGGGAAUAAAGUUUUCCACGUGUGGAAUUUUGUAUGUACCAUAUGAAUAAGGAUCGGCUAACUCCGUGCCAGCCGCCGCAGUAA
This 503-nucleotide ribosomal RNA is filed under the name uncultured bacterium. Its description in RNAcentral is "partial 16S ribosomal RNA". It matches the Rfam family "Bacterial small subunit ribosomal RNA", at positions 28 to 523 of the family's 1533-position model. The record is from RNAcentral.